GGGAUUGUGGCUCAGAGGUAGAGCUCUCGCCUGCCAUGCAUGAGGCACUGGGUUCGAUCCUCAGCACCA
RNAcentral lists this transfer RNA (69 nucleotides) under Ictidomys tridecemlineatus (thirteen-lined ground squirrel). Its description in RNAcentral is "Spermophilus tridecemlineatus (thirteen-lined ground squirrel) tRNA". It matches the Rfam family "tRNA". From Rfam's summary of the family: Transfer RNA (tRNA) molecules are approximately 80 nucleotides in length. Their secondary structure includes four short double-helical elements and three loops (D, anti-codon, and T loops). The record is from Rfam by way of RNAcentral. Lineage: Eukaryota; Metazoa; Chordata; Mammalia; Rodentia; Sciuridae.